AUAUUAAUUAAUAAAUAUAUAGUAUUAUUAUUAAUAUAAUAUUAGUAUUAAUAUUAUUAUUAAUAAUAUUUUUGCCAACUGAUGACACUAAUUUCCAUUCUUAUAUGGUACUAAAUAGGGUAGAACAAGCUUUACCGCAGGCAGUUCAUCCCUGUAAAUGGAUCAUGGAUCAGAUUCUGAUGGACGGGGAUCGAAGAGCCGGUCACGGAUCCCAUGAAUAAAUUUGCCCAAGUUGUAGGAUAUGGAAUUGAAACCAGGCCUUCCUAGGGAAAAACAUGGCAAAAUAGCCGCGUAACAAUAAAUUCACUUAUCACAUUGGUUAUCCAGAUUCAAUUAUGUCUCAUAACCUCCAGUUUUUCAGGAGAGAUCCAGCCUCGGAAACUAUUUAUUGAAACUAUCCUUCAACUUUCUGGUUGACCUCACCAUGGAUGAUGAAUGUUUUCUGUGGUUUAAUACAAUUUCCAUCCGAUUGGCAUUAAGCGGCAGGGUAUUUCCAUGCCUACCUGGGGCCAGCUAUACAUCUGGUGAGGUCAGCAGUCAGGUGGAGGAUGGAGUUCAACGAUCCGAUCGCGGACCAUUCCUGAAAAAUGAGAUGUGGGAUUGGGAAUUGAUUCGAAUCGUCCAGUGUGAAGCAGAAUAUGCUUCAAUCGCGAACCAUCAGGCGACGGAUGAUAGGUAUUGGCUAGAAAAGUAAUCGCCACCAGUUAAAGUAUAGCGUAUGAGCAUAAUGAACUUAUCUGAAUUAAACAAACGCCCAGAUGGAUCACUUGGAAACGUUUCGGCUUUCCAUUCUAGAGAACUCGGGUCCCAUCUCUUGGAAAUAUUAACCAUGAAUUUCGGACCCAAUCUAAAGAUUCUGUCCUCUGUAAUCUGUCUGAUUAUUCUGUAAGGAUAGGCAGCUGUGACAAAGUUCUUAUAGUUUUGCCCGUUGAUGUUGCCACAUAGUAAUCACCACUGAUUGGAAAGUUGUGCCACCUAUUGACAAAAAUCUAAUCUAUGUAGAAAGUCAAGGCGUUUUCAUACGACCAUUAUAUAUUGAUUAUUUUUACAUUAAAUAUAGAAAGAAUGUUUUCUAUAUUAAAAAUAUACCUUUAUAUUUAUUCUUAUAAAUUAAUUUAAUCCUAUAUUUUAGAGUGGCUUAUCUAGCCAAAGAAUUUCUUCAUGAACUACGAAACAAUCAGCCAG
RNAcentral lists this long non-coding RNA (1185 nucleotides) under Androctonus crassicauda. Lineage: Eukaryota; Metazoa; Arthropoda; Arachnida; Scorpiones; Buthidae. The record is from RNAcentral.